Molecule: ribosomal RNA, 638 nt
Filed under: Stenotrophomonas sp. LB10-CHR-13-28-D
Lineage: Bacteria; Pseudomonadati; Pseudomonadota; Gammaproteobacteria; Lysobacterales; Lysobacteraceae
Description: bacterial SSU rRNA
Rfam family: Bacterial small subunit ribosomal RNA
Source: RNAcentral
GCAGUCGAACGGCAGCACAGUAAGAGCUUGCUCUUAUGGGUGGCGAGUGGCGGACGGGUGAGGAAUACAUCGGAAUCUACCUUUUCGUGGGGGAUAACGUAGGGAAACUUACGCUAAUACCGCAUACGACCUUCGGGUGAAAGCAGGGGACCUUCGGGCCUUGCGCGGAUAGAUGAGCCGAUGUCGGAUUAGCUAGUUGGCGGGGUAAAGGCCCACCAAGGCGACGAUCCGUAGCUGGUCUGAGAGGAUGAUCAGCCACACUGGAACUGAGACACGGUCCAGACUCCUACGGGAGGCAGCAGUGGGGAAUAUUGGACAAUGGGCGCAAGCCUGAUCCAGCCAUACCGCGUGGGUGAAGAAGGCCUUCGGGUUGUAAAGCCCUUUUGUUGGGAAAGAAAAGCAAUCGGCUAAUACCCGGUUGUUCUGACGGUACCCAAAGAAUAAGCACCGGCUAACUUCGUGCCAGCAGCCGCGGUAAUACGAAGGGUGCAAGCGUUACUCGGAAUUACUGGGCGUAAAGCGUGCGUAGGUGGUUGUUUAAGUCUGUUGUGAAAGCCCUGGGCUCAACCUGGGAAUUGCAGUGGAUACUGGGCGACUAGAGUGUGGUAGAGGGUAGUGGAAUUCCCGGUGUAGCGGUG